This 469-nucleotide ribosomal RNA is filed under the name Vibrio parahaemolyticus. RNAcentral's name for it is "bacterial LSU rRNA". It matches the Rfam family "Bacterial large subunit ribosomal RNA", at positions 146 to 665 of the family's 2925-position model. Lineage: Bacteria; Pseudomonadati; Pseudomonadota; Gammaproteobacteria; Vibrionales; Vibrionaceae. The record is from RNAcentral.
ACUUAUCGUUAUGUGAAUACAUAGCAUAACGAAGCGAACCGGGGUAACUGAAACAUCUCAGUACCCCGAGGAAACGAAAUCAACCGAGAAUCCGUAAGUAGCCGCGAGCGAAAUUGGACUAGCCCUUAAGAUUUACACGCGUUAGACGAACGGACUGGAAAGUUCGACGAUACAGGGUGAUAGUCCCGUAGUUGACGACGUGUGUUCAGUGAAAUCGAGUAGGGCGGGACACGUGAUAUCCUGUCUGAAUAUGGUGGGACCAUCCUCCAAGGCUAAAUACUACUGACUGACCGAUAGUGAACCAGUACCGUGAGGGAAAGGCGAAAAGCACCCCUGCGAGGGGAGUGAAACAGAACCUGAAACCGUGUACGUACAAGCAGUAGGAGCAGGCUUUGUCCUGUGACUGCGUACCUUUUGUAUAAUGGAUCAGCGACUUAUAUUCAGUGGCAAGGUUAACCAUCUAGGGGAG